CCUACGAGGGGCAGCAGUGAGGAAUAUUGGUCAAUGGGCGGAAACCUGAACCAGCCAAGUAGCGUGCAGGAUGACGGCCCUACGGGUUGUAAACUGCUUUUAUACGGGAAUAACGCGCCUUACGUGUAGGGCUUUGCAUGUACCGUAUGAAUAAGGACCGGCUAAUUCCGUGCCAGCAGCCGCGGUAAUACGGAAGGUCCGGGCGUUAUCCGGAUUUAUUGGGUUUAAAGGGAGCGUAGGCCGCAUGUCAAGCGUGCUGUGAAAUGUCCGGGCUCAACCCCGGCCUUGCAGCGCGAACUGGCGUGCUUGAGUCCGCGGAAAGCAGGCGGAAUUCGUCGUGUAGCGGUGAAAUGCUUAGAUAUGGCGAAGAACCCCGAUUGCGAAGGCAGCUUGCUGCAGCGGAACUGACGCUGAUGCUCGAAAGCGCGGGUAUCGAACAGGAUUAGAUACCCGAGUAGUC
RNAcentral lists this ribosomal RNA (460 nucleotides) under uncultured bacterium. Its description in RNAcentral is "partial 16S ribosomal RNA". It matches the Rfam family "Bacterial small subunit ribosomal RNA", at positions 338 to 795 of the family's 1533-position model. The record is from RNAcentral.